CCUACGGGAGGCAGCAGUGAGGAAUAUUGGUCAAUGGGCGAGAGCCUGAACCAGCCAAGUCGCGUGAAGGAUGACGGCCCUACGGGUUGUAAACUUCUUUUGUCAGGGAGCAAUUGGGUCCACGCGUGGGCUUAUCGAGAGUACCUGAAGAAAAAGCAUCGGCUAACUCCGUGCCAGCAGCCGCGGUAAUACGGAGGAUGCGAGCGUUAUCCGGAUUUAUUGGGUUUAAAGGGUGCGUAGGCGGGUUAUCAAGUCAGCGGUAAAAUCGUGGAGCUCAACUCCAUCCAGCCGUUGAAACUGAUGAGCUGGAGUGGGCGAGAAGUAUGCGGAAUGCGUGGUGUAGCGGUGAAAUGCAUAGAUAUCACGCAGAACUCCGAUUGCGAAGGCAGCAUACCGGCGCCCGACUGACGCUGAAGCACGAAAGCGUGGGUAUCGAACAGGAUUAGAUACCCCAGUAGUC
This 460-nucleotide ribosomal RNA is filed under the name uncultured bacterium. RNAcentral describes it as "partial 16S ribosomal RNA". It matches the Rfam family "Bacterial small subunit ribosomal RNA", at positions 338 to 795 of the family's 1533-position model. The record is from RNAcentral.